Cavia porcellus (domestic guinea pig) is the source of this 688-nucleotide long non-coding RNA. RefSeq lists it as uncharacterized. The record is from RefSeq and is a predicted model, not a curated record. Lineage: Eukaryota; Metazoa; Chordata; Mammalia; Rodentia; Caviidae. The transcript has 2 exons.
UGCUUAACAUUGAACUUCAUUCCCGGCCCUCAAAGUUGCCAAACUGUCUGGCUUAGAGCUCAAGAGUAGAGGGCAAGAAUGAAGACUGGGCCUGGACUGCGGGAGAAGAGAACAAGAAGCCAACAAGAAGCCUGGCCCUGCCUGAGAGUUGGCACCAUGCAUGGGCCACUGUGGGGAGAACCAGAUGCCAGCCCCUUCUGGCACACAGGCUGGGAGAUAAGAGCCAACCCUGCCCCCUACUUUCCAAACCCCUCCUCCCCGACAUAAGUGACCAGCUGAUCUGGAGAAACACAGGCCAUGAUGAUAGCUAUUGAGAAUAAAACCCAACAAAACAGAGUAAAGCCAAUCAAAACAAAGAUGUGAAAGUGGUGCAGAACUUCAAAGCAGGAUAACAGGACAUCAACAAUGGCUAUAUAGUAUAUCUUGCUAUCUCCACAACAGUUAUCCAUUCCAUCAGACGUAGUAAAAUCAAAUACAACAAAUCAGAAUGAAACCAAUCAAAACAGAACACUGGAUAAAGCAAAACAAUAAAUUGGAACAAAACAAAACAAAACAGUGAGAACAAUAUUGGAUUUCAAAAGCAAGACAGAAGGAAAUUCCCCAAAUUUGCUGUAUUGCAUACUGUAAUCCUCCUAAUAGAUGCUCAGACUACUGGCCUUAGGCCUACAAAGUCAAUCAAGCAAUACAA